Molecule: ribosomal RNA, 449 nt
Filed under: uncultured bacterium
Lineage: Bacteria
Description: bacterial SSU rRNA
Rfam family: Bacterial small subunit ribosomal RNA
Source: RNAcentral
GGACUGGUGAGUAACGCGUGAAGAACCUGCCUUUCAGUGGGGGACAACAGUUGGAAACGACUGCUAAUACCGCAUAAUGUAUAGUGACCGCAUGGUCAGUAUACCAAAGAUUUAUUGCUGAAAGAUGGCUUCGCGUCUGAUUAGCUAGUUGGCGGGGUAAAGGCCCACCAAGGCGACGAUCAGUAGCCGGACUGAGAGGUUGACCGGCCACAUUGGGACUGAGAUACGGCCCAGACUCCUACGGGAGGCAGCAGUGGGGAAUAUUGGGCAAUGGACGAAAGUCUGACCCAGCAACGCCGCGUGAAGGAAGAAGGCUUUCGGGUUGUAAACUUCUUUUAAGAGGGAAGAGUAGAAGACGGUACCUCUUGAAUAAGCCACGGCUAACUACGUGCCAGCAGCCGCGGUAAUACGUAGGUGGCAAGCGUUGUCCGGAUUUACUGGGUGUAAAG